GCUACACAUGUCUUCAUCAGUAGAGCAUGAGACUUUUAAUCUCAAGAUUGUGGGUUUGAGCCCCAUGUUGGGCA
Podarcis lilfordi (Lilford's wall lizard) is the source of this 74-nucleotide non-coding RNA. The record is from the annotation of a GenBank genome assembly. NCBI's taxonomy places the organism in Eukaryota, Metazoa, Chordata, Lepidosauria, Squamata, Lacertidae.